RNAcentral lists this transfer RNA (72 nucleotides) under Labeo senegalensis. Its description in RNAcentral is "tRNA-Asp". It matches the Rfam family "tRNA". Rfam says of the family: Transfer RNA (tRNA) molecules are approximately 80 nucleotides in length. Their secondary structure includes four short double-helical elements and three loops (D, anti-codon, and T loops). Lineage: Eukaryota; Metazoa; Chordata; Actinopteri; Cypriniformes; Cyprinidae. The record is from RNAcentral.
AAGACAUUAGUAAAAUGCAAAUUACACCACCUUGUCAAGGUGAAAUCGUGGGUUAAACCCCCACAUGUCUUA